This 1200-nucleotide ribosomal RNA is filed under the name Coccidophilus sp. AGNM05. RNAcentral describes it as "eukaryotic LSU rRNA". It matches the Rfam family "Eukaryotic large subunit ribosomal RNA", at positions 90 to 1046 of the family's 3401-position model. Lineage: Eukaryota; Metazoa; Arthropoda; Insecta; Coleoptera; Coccinellidae. The record is from RNAcentral.
CGAGCGAACAGGGAAAAGCCCAGCACUGAAUCCCGCGGUCCGAGCGAUCGCCGGGAAAUGUAGUGUUAGGAAGGGUCCGUUAUCUUCGCGCACGUCGACUCGUCCAAGUCCAUCUUGAACGGGGCCACAACCCAUAGAGGGUGCCAGGCCCGUAGGACGGAGACGGUCGCGGAGAGGAUCACUUCCGAGAGUCGGGUUGCUUGAGAGUGCAGCCCUAAGUGGGUGGUAAACUCCAUCUAAGGCUAAAUAUGACCACGAGACCGAUAGCGAACAAGUACCGCGAGGGAAAGUUGAAAAGAACUUUGAAGAGAGAGUUCAAUAGUACGUGAAACCGUUCAGGGGUAAACCUGAGAAACCCGAAAGGUCGAACGGAGAGAUUCAUUCGCGGUACGGGCGGUGAUCUAGAGCGUCGGGAUGACGCGUCGCUCCUAGCGAGCGAUGCGCCCCUUCGUCUCGGAUCAGUCGUCGAACGCGUGCACUUCUCUCCUAGUAGGACGUCGCGAUCCGUUGAGUGCCGGUCGAAGGGUCCGCGAGGAAGCCCGCGAACGCGAUGCAAAUCGUCGUUUGCGGACCUGCGGUCUCCUGUCCGGCCGCUCGACGGUGUACAGACGGUGAGAGACCGCGAUUUUCGCGCCCGGUCGGUCGCAAACGCGCUUUAUGCGUCGGCUUUCGGUAUUACCGUUUGUGCCGGCCUCUAGCGGUUGUUGGCGAUCGUAUUCUCGGGCAGAUCUCUUUUUAACCGAUCUGCGACGCUACAGCUUUGGGUACUCUCAGGGCCCGUCUUGAAACACGGACCAAGGAGUCCAGUGUGUACGCGAGUCAUUGGGUCCAAUUAAACCUAAAGGCGUAAUGAAAGUAAAGAUCCGUCAGGAUCCAGGGAAGAUGACCGAACAUUACGUUCGGUCCGCACUCCCGGGGUGUCUCUAUCUUUUAUUAGAUGAGGCGCACCAAGAGCGUACACGCUGGGACCCGAAAGAUGGUGAACUAUGCCCGGUCAGGACGAAGUCAGGGGAAACCCUGAUGGAGGUCCGUAGCGGUUCUGACGUGCAAAUCGAUCGUCUGAACUGGGUAUAGGGGCGAAAGACUAAUCGAACCAUCUAGUAGCUGGUUCCCCCCGAAGUUUCCCUCAGGAUAGCUGGCGCUCGAUACGAUUCUCAUCCGGUAAAGCGAAUGAUUAGAGGCAUUGGGGUCGAAACGAUC